This 430-nucleotide small RNA is filed under the name Frischella japonica. RNAcentral's name for it is "cspA thermoregulator". Lineage: Bacteria; Pseudomonadati; Pseudomonadota; Gammaproteobacteria; Orbales; Orbaceae. The record is from RNAcentral.
CUAUUAAAGCAUUAGAAUUUGAAAAUAAUUCGUUAAUAGUAUACUUACCAUUGUUUGUUUUUAUUAGCUUUAGCUUCUUUCUAAGUGUUAUAAAUAAGAUUUGUAAGUUUUAUGUCAAUCCACAUAUUUUUGAUAUGUGUUUAUUUUGUUUAUAUAUUUAGGAUAUUGUUAAAUGACUAAAAAAACUGGCCAAGUUAAAUGGUUCAAUGAAAGUAAAGGUUUUGGAUUUAUUACUCCUGCUGAUGGAAGUAAAGACGUAUUUGUUCACUUUUCUGCAAUUGUUAAUGAUGGUUUCAAAACUUUAGCAGAAGGUCAAAAUGUUGAAUUUUCAAUUCAAGACAGUGCUCGCGGACCAGCUGCUGCGGACGUAAAAGUAAUCUAAUUAAUCGAUUACACCGAAUAUUUAAGAACCCUAUUUAUAAUAGGGUUU